RNAcentral lists this ribosomal RNA (433 nucleotides) under uncultured bacterium. Its description in RNAcentral is "partial 16S ribosomal RNA". It matches the Rfam family "Bacterial small subunit ribosomal RNA", at positions 29 to 507 of the family's 1533-position model. The record is from RNAcentral.
AACGAACGCUGGCGGCAUGCCUAACACAUGCAAGUCGAACGAGACCUUCGGGUCUAGUGGCGCACGGGUGCGUAACGCGUGGGAACCUGCCCUUAGGUUCGGAAUAACUCCCCGAAAGGGGUGCUAAUACCGGAUAAUGUCUUCGGAGCAAAGAUUUAUCGCCUUUGGAUGGGCCCGCGUUGGAUUAGCUAGUUGGUAGGGUAAAAGCCUACCAAGGCGACGAUCCAUAGCUGGUCUGAGAGGAUGAUCAGCCACACUGGGACUGAGACACGGCCCAGACUCCUACGGGAGGCAGCAGUGGGGAAUAUUGGACAAUGGGCGAAAGCCUGAUCCAGCAAUGCCGCGUGAGUGAUGAAGGCCUUAGGGUUGUAAAGCUCUUUUACCCGGGAUGAUAAUGACAGUACCGGGAGAAGAAGCCCCGGCUAACUCCGUG